RNAcentral lists this ribosomal RNA (528 nucleotides) under Cytobacillus firmus. RNAcentral's name for it is "bacterial SSU rRNA". It matches the Rfam family "Bacterial small subunit ribosomal RNA", at positions 83 to 597 of the family's 1533-position model. The record is from RNAcentral. Lineage: Bacteria; Bacillati; Bacillota; Bacilli; Caryophanales; Bacillaceae.
UCCCUGAAGUCAGCGGCGGACGGGUGAGUAACACGUGGGCAACCUGCCUGUAAGACUGGGAUAACUCCGGGAAACCGGGGCUAAUACCGGAUAACUCUUUUCCUCACAUGAGGAAAAGCUGAAAGAUGGUUUCGGCUAUCACUUACAGAUGGGCCCGCGGCGCAUUAGCUAGUUGGUGAGGUAACGGCUCACCAAGGCCACGAUGCGUAGCCGACCUGAGAGGGUGAUCGGCCACACUGGGACUGAGACACGGCCCAGACUCCUACGGGAGGCAGCAGUAGGGAAUCUUCCGCAAUGGACGAAAGUCUGACGGAGCAACGCCGCGUGAGUGAUGAAGGUUUUCGGAUCGUAAAACUCUGUUGUCAGGGAAGAACAAGUACCGGAGUAACUGCCGGUACCUUGACGGUACCUGACCAGAAAGCCACGGCUAACUACGUGCCAGCAGCCGCGGUAAUACGUAGGUGGCAAGCGUUGUCCGGAAUUAUUGGGCGUAAAGCGCGCGCAGGCGGUUCCUUAAGUCUGAUGUGA